This 270-nucleotide ribosomal RNA is filed under the name uncultured archaeon. RNAcentral's name for it is "partial 16S ribosomal RNA". It matches the Rfam family "Archaeal small subunit ribosomal RNA", at positions 477 to 747 of the family's 1478-position model. The record is from RNAcentral.
CAGCAGCCCGAGUGGUGGUCGUUUUUAUUGGGCCUAAAGCGUCCGUAGCCGGUCUAGUAAAUCCUUGGAUAAAUCGUACAGCUUAACUGUACGGCUCCCGGGGAGACUGCUAGACUUGGGACUGGGAGAGGUCGGAGGUACUCCAGGGGUAGGGGUGAAAUCUUGUAAUCCUUAGGGGACCACCAGUGGCGAAGACGUCCGACUAGAACGGGUCCGACGGUAAGGGACGAAGCCCUGAGGCGCGAACCGGAUUAGAUACCCGAGUAGUCC